RNAcentral lists this microRNA (21 nucleotides) under Arabidopsis lyrata. RNAcentral describes it as "aly-miR860-3p". Its record names the gene aly-miR860-3p. Lineage: Eukaryota; Viridiplantae; Streptophyta; Magnoliopsida; Brassicales; Brassicaceae. The record is from miRBase by way of RNAcentral. RNAcentral also lists the same sequence under 1 other name.
UCAAUAGAUUGGACUAUAUAU